This 664-nucleotide ribosomal RNA is filed under the name Lactiplantibacillus pentosus. Its description in RNAcentral is "bacterial SSU rRNA". It matches the Rfam family "Bacterial small subunit ribosomal RNA", at positions 71 to 710 of the family's 1533-position model. The record is from RNAcentral. Lineage: Bacteria; Bacillati; Bacillota; Bacilli; Lactobacillales; Lactobacillaceae.
GAUUGGUGCUUGCAUCAUGAUUUACAUUUGAGUGAGUGGCGAACUGGUGAGUAACACGUGGGAAACCUGCCCAGAAGCGGGGGAUAACACCUGGAAACAGAUGCUAAUACCGCAUAACAACUUGGACCGCAUGGUCCGAGUUUGAAAGAUGGCUUCGGCUAUCACUUUUGGAUGGUCCCGCGGCGUAUUAGCUAGAUGGUGGGGUAACGGCUCACCAUGGCAAUGAUACGUAGCCGACCUGAGAGGGUAAUCGGCCACAUUGGGACUGAGACACGGCCCAAACUCCUACGGGAGGCAGCAGUAGGGAAUCUUCCACAAUGGACGAAAGUCUGAUGGAGCAACGCCGCGUGAGUGAAGAAGGGUUUCGGCUCGUAAAACUCUGUUGUUAAAGAAGAACAUAUCUGAGAGUAACUGUUCAGGUAUUGACGGUAUUUAACCAGAAAGCCACGGCUAACUACGUGCCAGCAGCCGCGGUAAUACGUAGGUGGCAAGCGUUGUCCGGAUUUAUUGGGCGUAAAGCGAGCGCAGGCGGUUUUUUAAGUCUGAUGUGAAAGCCUUCGGCUCAACCGAAGAAGUGCAUCGGAAACUGGGAAACUUGAGUGCAGAAGAGGACAGUGGAACUCCAUGUGUAGCGGUGAAAUGCGUAGAUAUAUGGAAGAACACC